This 253-nucleotide ribosomal RNA is filed under the name uncultured bacterium. RNAcentral's name for it is "partial 16S ribosomal RNA". It matches the Rfam family "Bacterial small subunit ribosomal RNA", at positions 524 to 776 of the family's 1533-position model. The record is from RNAcentral.
AACGUAGGUACCGAGCGUUAUCCGGAUUUACUGGGCGUAAAGCGCGUUCAGGCGGUUUGGCAAGUCGGGCAUGAAAUCUCUCGGCUCAACCGGGAGAGGUUGUCCGAUACUUCCAGACUUGAGGGCAGUAGAGGGUGGUGGAAUUCCGGGUGUAGUGGUGAAAUGCGUAGAUAUCCAGAGGAACACCAGUGGCGAAAGCGGCCACCUGGACUGCACCUGACGCUGACACGCGAAAGCUAGGGGAGCGAACGGG